UGAAAAAUGAAUGUGCCAGCACUUUACAUUCCACCACGGUAAUAAGAUGGUAAUAGUUGGGUAACAGUGUGAUA
Molecule: long non-coding RNA, 74 nt
Organism: Etheostoma spectabile (orangethroat darter)
Lineage: Eukaryota; Metazoa; Chordata; Actinopteri; Perciformes; Percidae
Exons: 3
Source: RefSeq, a predicted model, not a curated record